RNAcentral lists this unclassified non-coding RNA (228 nucleotides) under fungal sp. RNAcentral describes it as "partial internal transcribed spacer region". The stretch from base 1 to 46 matches the Rfam family "Eukaryotic small subunit ribosomal RNA", at positions 1786 to 1831 of the family's 1831-position model. Lineage: Eukaryota; Fungi. The record is from RNAcentral.
AAGUCGUAACAAGGUUUCCGUAGGUGAACCUGCGGAAGGAUCAUUAUCACAAAAUGAUUUUUAAGGUCUCUCUUAAUCCAGAGCCUUAAACCUCUUCUUAAACCAAUUUAAUUCAAAUGUGAAACUGUUCAUUUUGUUGUGUUUGUUUUUUCUUUGUUUUUUUUUUCUGAUUGAUGAUUGGCUCUCUUGAGCCUUUCAGAAACAAAAAGAAAAACAAAAAAACAAAAA